AUACAGAGGGUGCAAGCGUUAAUCGGAAUUACUGGGCGUAAAGCGAGCGUAGGUGGCUUGAUAAGUCAGAUGUGAAAUCCCCGGGCUUAACCUGGGAACUGCAUCUGAUACUGUUAGGCUAGAAUAGGUGAGAGGAAGGUAGAAUUCCAGGUGUAGCGGUGAAAUGCGUAGAGAUCUGGAGGAAUACCGAUGGCGAAGGCAGCCUUCUGGCAUCAUAUUGACACUGAGGUUCGAAAGCGUGGGUAGCAAACAGGAUUAGAUACCCUGGUAGUCCACGCCGUAAACGAUGUCUACUAGUCGUUGGGUCCCUUGAGGACUUAGUGACGCAGCUAACGCAAUAAGUAGACCGCCUGGGGAGUACGGCCGCAAGGUUAAAACUCAAAUGAAUUGACGGGGGCCCGCACAAGCGGUGGAGCAUGUGGUUUAAUUCGAUGCAACGCGAAGAACCUUACCUGGUCUUGACAUAUCUAGAAUCCUGCAGAGAUGCGGGAGUGCCUUCGGGAAUUAGAAUACAGGUGCUGCAUGGCUGUCGUCAGCUCGUGUCGUGAGAUGUUGGGUUAAGUCCCGCAACGAGCGCAACCCUUGUCCUUAGUUACCAGCGGGUUAAGCCGGGAACUCUAAGGAUACUGCCAGUGACAAACUGGAGGAAGGCGGGGACGACGUCAAGUCAUCAUGGCCCUUACGACCAGGGCUACACACGUGCUACAAUGGUAGGUACAGAGGGCAGCUACACAGCGAUGUGAUGCGAAUCUUUCAAAGCCUAUCGUAGUCCAGAUUGGAGUCUGCAACUCGACUCCAUGAAGUAGGAAUCGCUA
This 815-nucleotide ribosomal RNA is filed under the name Psychrobacter sp. B711. RNAcentral describes it as "bacterial SSU rRNA". It matches the Rfam family "Bacterial small subunit ribosomal RNA", at positions 523 to 1337 of the family's 1533-position model. Lineage: Bacteria; Pseudomonadati; Pseudomonadota; Gammaproteobacteria; Moraxellales; Moraxellaceae. The record is from RNAcentral.